AACGCGAAGAACCUUACCCAGGCUUGACAUCCUUGGAAUUUCUCCGAAAGGAGAGAGUGCUUCGGAACCAAGUGACAGGUGAUGCAUGGCCGUCGUCAGCUCGUGUCGUGAGAUGUUUGGUUAAGUCCAUCAACGAGCGCAACCCUUUUAGCUAGUUGUAUUUCUCUAGCUAGACUGCCCUGGUAACAGGGAGGAAGGAGGGGAUGAUGUCAGGUCAGUAUUUCCCUUACGUCUGGGGCUACAAACACGCUACAAUGGCCGGUACAAAGAGCUGCCAAGUCGCGAGACGGAGCAAAUCUCAUCAAAGCCGGUCUCAGUUCGGAUUGCAGGCUGAAACUCGCCUGCAUGAAGCUGGAAUCGCUAGUAACGGUAGGUCAGCACACUACCGUGAAUACGUUCCCGGGCCUUGUA
RNAcentral lists this ribosomal RNA (411 nucleotides) under uncultured Candidatus Saccharibacteria bacterium. Its description in RNAcentral is "bacterial SSU rRNA". It matches the Rfam family "Bacterial small subunit ribosomal RNA", at positions 958 to 1385 of the family's 1533-position model. Lineage: Bacteria; Candidatus Saccharimonadota. The record is from RNAcentral.